CCACAUGAACAGUACUUUAUUGUCAUUGGCUGUAUUUUUCUUUUUCUAUUUUGCUUUUUGAUAAUUAUAUUUUUUAUCUGUCUCUUCCUCUUUGCCCGAUGUCAUCUGCUCACCGCCUACUGCCGAUAGAAAUGUGCUUACUGUCACCGACUCAACUUCACUAUCUCUUAUACCUUCUUCUAAUUAUUCCACCGCUUAAUCUAAUACUCAUUUCUCUCUGAAUCUAUCAUGGUCAAGGCCUCCAGAUCCUUCUACACCGCCUCUCUGAAAUACCCCCAACUGAUCGUCUCUGCCUCCUUUAAGCCUCCAUCCACCGCUAUGCAUGUAUACAACUCUAGAAUCGGUCGCCACCGUGGAACCGUCGAAGCUCCAGACGCCCUUCUGCCAGUCUUCACGACCUUCGUUUUGCUGGAAAUCUACUUGAUAGUCGACUGUCUAAAAUCAAACGGCGGUCGCAUCCCUUCUCUAAAAUCGAGCAGCAACAGAAACCUUCGCAGCACCUCCUUUUAUAUAUGUCGUCGUCCUCCGGUGGCUUCCCGUUUUCCAUCCCUGAUUCCGCCAAUUAGGGUUAGGUUUGUUGUUGUUGUUCUGUCCUGGACGACGUUACAACAACGGCUCUUAGGCCGGUCCUUCAUCCUGUGAAUCAAGUUGUUUCAAGGUCCUCUGGUGUCACGACGAUCGAUUCCCCCUUCGUAUCCUUCUUGACUACCAUCAAAAUCAAAUCUUUUGCUAUUAGAAUAUAUGGAAGGUUUCAGACCGACUUGCACCAGCAACACAGAAGACUAAUGUUACUAUGAUUGAAAGGGUAGACUUCCAUGAUAGCGAUGCUUUCCCCUGCUUUUCCUUUUUCAACUUAAUGAAAAGGUUUUAUGUGAUAUAUUGGCGGAUAAUAAUGGUAUUAAGAAACUCCAGGUAAAUAUUAAUGGUG
Long non-coding RNA from Lactuca sativa (garden lettuce), 928 nucleotides. RefSeq lists it as uncharacterized. The record is from RefSeq and is a predicted model, not a curated record. NCBI's taxonomy places the organism in Eukaryota, Viridiplantae, Streptophyta, Magnoliopsida, Asterales, Asteraceae.